AUUGAACGCUGGCGGCAGGCCUAACACAUGCAAGUCGAACGAGUGGCGGACGUGUGAGUAAUUUCUGGGAAACUGCCUGAUGGAGGGGGAUAACUACUGGAAACGGUAGCUAAUAACGCAUACCAUCAGAUGUUCCCAGAUGGGAUUGGCUAGUUUGUGGGGUAACGGCUCACCAAGACGAUGAUCCAUAGCUGGUCUGAGAGGAUGACCGGCCAAACUGGAACUGAGACACGGCCCAGACUCCUACGGGAGGCAGCAGUGGGGAAUAUUGCACAAUGGGCGCAAGCCUGAUGCAGCCAUGCCGCGUGUGUGAAGAAGGCCUUCGGGUUGUAAAGUACUUUCAGCGGGGAGGCGUUACCCGCAGAAGAAGCACCGGCUAACUCCGUGCCAGCAGCCGCGGUAAUAC
RNAcentral lists this ribosomal RNA (406 nucleotides) under uncultured bacterium. RNAcentral's name for it is "partial 16S ribosomal RNA". It matches the Rfam family "Bacterial small subunit ribosomal RNA", at positions 30 to 526 of the family's 1533-position model. The record is from RNAcentral.